RNAcentral lists this ribosomal RNA (448 nucleotides) under uncultured bacterium. RNAcentral's name for it is "SSU rRNA". It matches the Rfam family "Bacterial small subunit ribosomal RNA", at positions 26 to 518 of the family's 1533-position model. The record is from RNAcentral.
AGAGCGAACGCUGGCGGCAGGCUUAACACAUGCAAGUCGAGCGGGCGUAGCAAUACGUCAGCGGCAGACGGGUGAGUAACGCGUGGGAACAUACCUUUUGGUUCGGAACAACACAGGGAAACUUGUGCUAAUACCGGAUAAGCCCUUACGGGGAAAGAUUUAUCGCCGAAAGAUUGGCCCGCGUCUGAUUAGCUAGUUGGUGAGGUAACGGCUCACCAAGGCGACGAUCAGUAGCUGGUCUGAGAGGAUGAUCAGCCACAUUGGGACUGAGACACGGCCCAAACUCCUACGGGAGGCAGCAGUGGGAAUAUUGGACAAUGGGCGCAAGCCUGAUCCAGCCAUGCCGCGUGAGUGAUGAAGGCCCUAGGGUUGUAAAGCUCUUUUGUGCGGGAAGAUAAUGACGGUACCGCAAGAAUAACGCCCGGCUAACGUUCGCGCCAGCAGCCGC